Molecule: ribosomal RNA, 474 nt
Filed under: uncultured bacterium
Lineage: Bacteria
Description: bacterial SSU rRNA
Rfam family: Bacterial small subunit ribosomal RNA
Source: RNAcentral
AGAGUUUGAUCAUGGCUCAGAACGAACGCUGGCGACAGGCCUAACACAUGCAAGUCGAACGCUCGUAGCAAUACGAGAGUGGCAGACGGGUGAGUAACACGUGGGAACCUUCCCUUUGGUUCGGAAUAGCUCAGGGAAACUUGAGGUAAUACCGGAUAAGCCCUUACGGGGAAAGAUUUAUCGCCAUAGGAUGGGCCCGCGUCGGAUUAGCUAGUUGGUGAGGUAACGGCUCACCAAGGCGACGAUCCGUAGCUGGUCUGAGAGGAUGAUCAGCCACACUGGGACUGAGACACGGCCCAGACUCCUACGGGAGGCAGCAGUGGGGAAUAUUGGACAAUGGGCGCAAGCCUGAUCCAGCCAUGCCGCGUGAGUGACGAAGGCCUUAGGGUUGUAAAGCUCUUUUGGCGGGGAAGAUAAUGACGGUACCCGCAGAAUAAGCUCCGGCUAACUUCGUGCCAGCAGCCGCGGUAAUUC